GACAGAGGGUGCAAACGUUGUUCGGAAUUACUGGGCGUAAAGCGCACGUAGGCGGAUUUGUAAGUCAGGGGUGAAAUCCCGGGGCUCAACCUCGGAACUGCCUUUGAUACUGCAAAUCUCGAGUCCGGAAGAGGUGAGUGGAAUUCCUGGUGUAGCGGUGAAAUGACGCAGAUAUCAGGAGGAACACCAAUUGCGAAGGCAGCUCGCUGGGACGUUACUGACGCUGAGACGCGAAAGCGUGGGGAGCAAACAGG
RNAcentral lists this ribosomal RNA (254 nucleotides) under uncultured bacterium. Its description in RNAcentral is "partial 16S ribosomal RNA". It matches the Rfam family "Bacterial small subunit ribosomal RNA", at positions 524 to 776 of the family's 1533-position model. The record is from RNAcentral.